GUGGCUGUCCCUGGAGGUGGG
This 21-nucleotide microRNA is filed under the name Bos taurus (domestic cattle). Its description in RNAcentral is "bta-miR-2902". The record is from miRBase by way of RNAcentral. Lineage: Eukaryota; Metazoa; Chordata; Mammalia; Artiodactyla; Bovidae.